UUUCCGUAGGUGAACCUGCGGAAGGAUCAUUAUCGUACAAAAUGUGAGGGGCAUGCGAGGGCUGUCGCUGACCGAAAAGUCGUGCACGCCCGAGUGUGUCCUCUUGCAUAAUAAUCCAUCUCACCCUUUGUGCAUCACCGCGUGGGCACCCUUCGGGAUCAUCUCGGAGGGGGGCUCGCGUUUUCACACAAACCCCCCUUUUAAAAGUGUAGAAUGACCACAUUUAUGCAAUCAAUACAACUUUCAACAACGGAUCUCUUGGCUCUC
Molecule: unclassified non-coding RNA, 267 nt
Filed under: plant metagenome
Description: partial contains small subunit ribosomal RNA, internal transcribed spacer 1, and 5.8S ribosomal RNA
Source: RNAcentral